CAGUGCACGUCUCAGGCAGCUGUGACGUCACCCACACGCGUCAUAACAAACCGAGCCCUUUUGAGUUUCUCGCAACUUUGCAAAUCGCAAGUACAAUUUGCUAUGUUGUGCUUCGGAUCGAGCGAACGUUAUGGUUUUCGACUGUGCCAAAUAAGCACUGAUCAGAAUACCACGGAGGUGCUACAUGCCAAAUUGCAAUUACGGCAAUGGGCCUAAAGUUGCUGUGCUUUAUUUUCCGUCUGAUGAAUCUCUAAGACUGGAUGCCUAGUAAACAUUCAGUCGUUUGUGAGCAGCAUUUCAACUAAGAAGAUAUUUUAAGCAGUACAAGUAUGUACGACCCAAAAACUGGCAAACUGUUAACAGCACCAUUGGAUCGUCGACGCUUAAGAAAAGGUGCUGUACCUAUAAAGUUAACAGAUGUCCUUGAAAGUCCCAGGGAGCUACUAGAAACUGCCUUUCGCACUGCCAUUCGAGAAAGUGUAGAAACGCAGGAGAAUUUGAUAGAAACGAUUUCUACCUGUAAUUUGGAGUAGCUGAAACGCAAAAUAAGUGACUGUGAUAAGCAUUGUGACGGGAUUGUAGUUAUCAAAAUAGACAGUGAGUGCUUAUUGUUAAUUAACCACAAUCCUUACCCAAGAGUUGUCUGCUCCUGUGUUAUAAACAGGAUUUAUCUCUAAGUGUUUUUAUUAACGAUGUGUAAUUGAAAUGUGUUGGGAAGAUGAAAUUUUCCAAGACAGUCUGCAACACAUGAGAUGUGAGUGAAAAUGUAUUUGGUGUAUAAUAAAUAUGAGGUUCCUGUUGAUAA
Long non-coding RNA from Schistocerca gregaria, 805 nucleotides. RefSeq lists it as uncharacterized. NCBI's taxonomy places the organism in Eukaryota, Metazoa, Arthropoda, Insecta, Orthoptera, Acrididae. The transcript is spliced from 3 exons. The record is from RefSeq and is a predicted model, not a curated record.